ACGUACACUCCUACGGGAGGCAGCAGUGGGGAAUAUUGCACAAUGGGCGCAAGCCUGAUGCAGCGACGCCGCGUGGGGGAUGAAGGCCUUCGGGUUGUAAACUCCUUUCGCUAAGGACGAAGCUUUUUUGUGACGGUACCUAGAUAAGAAGCACCGGCUAACUACGUGCCAGCAGCCGCGGUAAUACGUAGGGUGCGAGCGUUGUCCGGAAUUACUGGGCGUAAAGGGCUCGUAGGUGGUUUGUCGCGUCGUCUGUGAAAUUCUGGGGCUUAACUCCGGGCGUGCAGGCGAUACGGGCAUAACUUGAGUGCUGUAGGGGUAACUGGAAUUCCUGGUGUAGCGGUGAAAUGCGCAGAUAUCAGGAGGAACACCGAUGGCGAAGGCAGGUUACUGGGCAGUUACUGACGCUGAGGAGCGAAAGCAUGGGUAGCGAACAGGAUUAGAUACCCCUGUAGUCCCA
This 460-nucleotide ribosomal RNA is filed under the name uncultured organism. RNAcentral's name for it is "partial 16S ribosomal RNA". It matches the Rfam family "Bacterial small subunit ribosomal RNA", at positions 329 to 797 of the family's 1533-position model. The record is from RNAcentral.